CGCGUAGGCGGUUUCGGAAGUUAUGGGUGAAAGCCCCCGGCUCAACUGGGGAAUUGCCUGUAAAACCACGGGACUGGAGUGCUGGAAAGGGAAGUGGAAUUCCCAGUGUAGCGGUGAAAUGCGUAGAUAUUGGGAGGAACACCAGUGGCGAAGGCGGCUUCCUGGACAGACACUGACGCUGAGGCGCGAAAGCCAGGGGAGCAAACG
Molecule: ribosomal RNA, 207 nt
Filed under: uncultured bacterium
Lineage: Bacteria
Description: partial 16S ribosomal RNA
Rfam family: Bacterial small subunit ribosomal RNA
Source: RNAcentral